UUUUGUUGAGAGAUUUGAACCUACAACUAACAACUAUACAUUCAGGGGAAUAAUAUGGAAGCAUUAAAAUUAAAUAUUUUAAGAACUAUUAUUUUUAAUUUUAAUUCUUGAUUACAAUAGGUAUACACUUUGUUGAGAGAUACGUAUAAACAACUGACAACUAUACAUUCAGGGGAAUAAUAUGAAAACAUUCAUAUUGAAUAUUUUAAGAACUAUUCUUCUCCAUUUUCAAUUUAGUAAUACAAAUUCCAAAAAUGUACUGCUCUGUUCCACAACCUGCAAGAAACUACUAGUUUUGCAUUUUUUUCGAUAUCAUAAAGGGAAAAUCGGUUAUCGUAGUAAAAACGUUUACAUUCUUGCAGUACUGGAACAGACUAUUUAUUUUUGAAAUUAAAAUAAUUUAUCAAAAUUUAUUUGUUUUGUUUAUAUUUUUGGACUUAUAAAUCUGACACUUAAGUAUAACAGUAUAAAAAAUUGCAUGUGGUUUUUGUUACGUUUGUUGUACAACAACACUUGCUGUUACCCGUGUUAUUCCACCAUGAAUGAUGUGUAUCAUUCAAUGGAAAACGGUAGAAAACCAAACAUUUUGGAAUGACAACUCUAAAUGUACCCAUCAUUAGUGCUGUUCCAGAACCUGCAAGAAUCUCCUGGUUUUGGAACGGACUAAUUAUUUCGCACAAUUAACAUUUGAAAAAGGGUUUCCCGACGAUUCACAUUCAAACGAUACAGCUCGGGAACUCACAGCCGAAAUAUACUAAAGCAAUUGUAUUUUGUAUUGUUGUAUUUUGUAUUGUUUGUGUUAAUCGCACCUGUUUCACCAUUUAUUUCUAUGGCACGCUCUGAAAAAAAUGCUUCUGGAGAUAAUUGAUCUUGUGUUUUUAACCAGAAAAAAUGUAAUUAACUGGUACCUUAAAAUGCAUAAAAUAUUUAUUUAUUAUCGAAAAUAGCAAUAGAAUUCUCUGAAAACGAACUGCAAAAAAUAAAUUCUUAACAUGCUUUAAAUAUUCUA
Long non-coding RNA from Musca domestica (house fly), 1009 nucleotides. RefSeq lists it as uncharacterized. The record is from RefSeq and is a predicted model, not a curated record. The transcript has 2 exons. NCBI's taxonomy places the organism in Eukaryota, Metazoa, Arthropoda, Insecta, Diptera, Muscidae.